GACAGAGCACUUUGGUUCGGAAAGCUCACGAGAAAGGAAGACAUUUUUAACAGCAGCUGAAUGGCGUGUUAAAUAUAGGACUUUUUACACUUAGAGUCCAUUAGAGAAACCCGCUGCUACAAGAACAAGAUGAACAGAAACCCCUGAGCCGCAAAUCUCCCACUGGAAAGCAUGGGUAAGAACCUCCGGCCACUCAGAGAAGCCAUUUCUGUUUCCUCAUGAACCAGCAGAAUGAAUGACCAUUAUUAAAGGAGACCUGACCAUGCCUCAGGCAUGGCCACCAUCCAAGCAGCAUACCGGGAGCAGGGAGGUAUUAAUUCAUCUUCUUAAUCCUGAGGUUCAUGAAGCCUCAGUCCCCUAUAACCAUAUGCGAGAACUCCAUGAAAGAGGGAUGACAACAUUACUAAGAAGAAAUUUAUCUUCCACAUCAAUGGAACAGCUUGAGUUAAUCAUUUCAUCCCAUCCCAGCCAUCAAUGGGGUCUUCUGCACCACCAGUUUUCUAGAGAUAUAGUCUAUGCACUUCCAUGAUUUUGUAUUGGUGUACUGCAAAAAAAUCAAAUUAAAA
Molecule: long non-coding RNA, 566 nt
Organism: Anguilla rostrata (American eel)
Lineage: Eukaryota; Metazoa; Chordata; Actinopteri; Anguilliformes; Anguillidae
Exons: 3
Source: RefSeq, a predicted model, not a curated record